UGGGUAGCAGUUCCUUCAGACGACGUUCACCGUGCCGUUUCAUCUAAUUUUUACUUAAUUGCAUUAUCAUCACAAGCAUUCUAUCCGUCUUAAGGAACCUGGUCGAACUUCCAUUUAUUUCGUACGCCGAAGUUGCCUACGUCAUCCGUAAGUUUGAAGGACUUACAAUGGCUCCCAUCGAAGAAAAAACAAGAGGACUAAUUUCUCUCUGCCUGGGCCUAGACUUUGACCCUACAGCUAUUCACUUCGACGAUUUCUUCGGAACGCUCAAGAUCUCCUUCACGAAGAUCGGCAAGGAAAUCUCUCAUAUGUCAGCGUCAACCUCAACUUGUCCCUACACAACAGAAUAUUCCAGACAUACUACAGUGCAAGGAACAUUAAAAUACG
This 387-nucleotide long non-coding RNA is filed under the name Androctonus crassicauda. The record is from RNAcentral. Lineage: Eukaryota; Metazoa; Arthropoda; Arachnida; Scorpiones; Buthidae.